UGAUACUACCGUGGGCUUCCCGGAGCAGGCGCCUGUCCGCUCUCCUCAGCAGUGCACCUCGGCUGCCAGCAGCCUGCCUGGCCGUGAGGAGAACAGCAGAUGAAUGGGCGAACCAAGGAAACUGCACUCAAAGAAAUGUCUUGUAACGGUUCUAACUUUGGUUUGGCAUGUCACCUCUGUAACGAUAUCAGGGAGAGGAAAUAUUCCGUCAAAGCUGUGAGCAUGGAAGGAAACAGCCUGGAUGGUGUCCAAAGACAUACAGUAUCUUAGCAACUUCUGAAGUUCAGAAAAGCCAACAUUUCAGUCCGGGAAGCCGGCUGGUAGAAGCUCCAACCUCCCCAACCACCAAUCACUGAAAGACACGCCUUAAGGUGGCAGUGGCCAUCAUUUUCGGGACCUGCUCCCCAAGCUGCCAAAAUCGAGGGGCUGGCAGAGGGCAGGCAAGCCUCUCUUGUCAAGAAAACAAAAGGCUGCCAAAAACAUGUGAAACCUGCGAUAACCAAGGGCGAGAGCUGGGACUAGCAAGUGAGAGGUAUGGAGGAAGAGGGACAGACGAGAAAGAUCACAAUGGAAAGAUGGAGAAGGAGUAAAGAAAGCCAGUAUGUCCAGAGGAAAGUGACAGGAGGCGCCCAAACAUUCACCCGGCAUCAACAGCGCAUGGCAAGAAUGGCACGAAGAGCACUGAAGCCAUCCUCUGCUUUGGGUUCUUGAGAUACGAAGCUUCCUACUCAGAUACCCAUAAUGGAAAAAAAAUAAUUACGGAGCCAAUGGAGCCUCUUGGUUCUUAGGAAGGUGAACCCAUGGAUGGUUCAGAGGCUCCAACCCUGGGCUGAGUGCUUCUGCCCAUGCUGAUGGUCAUCCCGCUUUCCUUGUGAUCACAUGUU
Molecule: long non-coding RNA, 884 nt
Organism: Mustela erminea (ermine)
Lineage: Eukaryota; Metazoa; Chordata; Mammalia; Carnivora; Mustelidae
Exons: 3
Source: RefSeq, a predicted model, not a curated record